RNAcentral lists this ribosomal RNA (466 nucleotides) under uncultured bacterium. RNAcentral's name for it is "partial 16S ribosomal RNA". It matches the Rfam family "Bacterial small subunit ribosomal RNA", at positions 28 to 507 of the family's 1533-position model. The record is from RNAcentral.
GAUGAACGCUGGCGGCGUGCUUAACACAUGCAAGUCGAACGGAAAGGCCCUUGCUUGCUGGGGUACUCGAGUGGCGAACGGGUGAGUAACACGUGGGUGAUCUGCCUUGCACUUCGGGAUAAGCCUGGGAAACUGGGUCUAAUACCGGAUAGGACCAUCGUUUAGUGUCGGUGGGUGAGAGUUUUUUCGGUGUGGGAUGAGCUCGCGGCCUAUCAGCUUGUUGGUGGGGUAUUGGCCUACCAAGGCGUCGACGGGUAGCCGGCCUGAGAGGGUGUACGGCCACAUUGGGACUGAGAUACGGCCCAGACUCCUACGGGAGGCAGCAGUGGGGAAUAUUGCACAAUGGGCGCAAGCCUGAUGCAGCAACGCCGCGUGGGGGAUGACGGCCUUCGGGUUGUAAACUCCUUUCGUCAGGGACGAAGCGAGAGUGACGGUACCUGGAAAAGAAGCACCGGCUAACUACGUG